GCCGGGAUGGCGGAACUGGUAGACGCAGAGGACUCAAAAUCCUCCGUUCGCAAGGGCAUGAGAGUUCAAUUCUCUCUCCCGGCA
RNAcentral lists this transfer RNA (84 nucleotides) under Candidatus Firestonebacteria bacterium RIFOXYC2_FULL_39_67. RNAcentral's name for it is "tRNA-Leu". It matches the Rfam family "tRNA". Rfam says of the family: Transfer RNA (tRNA) molecules are approximately 80 nucleotides in length. Their secondary structure includes four short double-helical elements and three loops (D, anti-codon, and T loops). Lineage: Bacteria; Candidatus Firestoneibacteriota. The record is from RNAcentral. RNAcentral also lists the same sequence under 2 other names.